CAGGGUAUUUAGAGUUGAAAACAUUAUAUACAUUUUAUAAAUAUUUAAGGAAAAUUUGAAGUUAAGUUCAGAAGGGUGAAUGUACUGGGAAAGUGCGUUGACCAAGCUAACUGAACUGUUAUUGAUUUACUUUUCUUGGGGAAUAACAAAUUCUCUGAAUUGACAUAAAUGAGGGUGAAACGUUCAAACUGGUGUUCCUACACAAAUUGGGUGGAUGGACAUUUGGGAUACAGAUGGUCAGUUUGGUCAGUUUGUCAAUAAAGGGGCAUGCAUAGGAUCUGAAAUGAUUUUGAUUAAGUAUCUAGAAGCGUCUACUAGUCUGAGAUAUUAGUUAGAUAUGCCAACGUUGGGUUGAUGUAUGGCUUAAGGAUAACUAGAAAUGUCAUUUUAUCACUGGAAGAAAUUGAUGGUACCAAAUAAAGUCUCCGAAAGGGACUAAUGAAAGUAACUAAUUAUCAAGAUUGGAUAUGAGUCAUUUCUGAGGAGGUAGGACAUCAUUUCGGGGGGAGGAGCCCAGAAAUUGUGAAGAGAACUAAAAACUAGUUGACUGAGAGAGAGCGGGAGAGACUGAGCCCUGCUGUUGACUUGAGAGGUUCUCUCUGCAUAUUGAGAGAUUGGCUCAGAUGAAAUUGUAACUUUAGGAAUUGGAAAAGAAACCAACAAGUUCUUCCAGGAGAUGUGUGAAUCUGUGUUACAUGUAAACCAGGACAUCUAGGAAAUAUUUGAGGACCUUUGUGAAAGAAUUCAUGUUAAAAUAAACCGGACUUGAACACCAUACUGGACUUAUCCUUGAUUAUCCAUCUAGCUACAUCAUCCCCAGAACCAGAGUGGCUAGACAGAUUGCCUAGGUAAUAAGGGUACAACACCCCGAAAACCUAAGGUAAUAAAUGAUAUGUUUGGAGUAAUAU
This is a long non-coding RNA of Haliotis rubra (blacklip abalone), 908 nucleotides long. RefSeq lists it as uncharacterized. The record is from RefSeq and is a predicted model, not a curated record. Lineage: Eukaryota; Metazoa; Mollusca; Gastropoda; Lepetellida; Haliotidae. The transcript is spliced from 3 exons.